Long non-coding RNA from Tyto alba (common barn owl), 1639 nucleotides. RefSeq lists it as uncharacterized. The record is from RefSeq and is a predicted model, not a curated record. NCBI's taxonomy places the organism in Eukaryota, Metazoa, Chordata, Aves, Strigiformes, Tytonidae. The transcript is spliced from 2 exons.
CAUGAUUUGAAGAUUGUGAAGGUUGUUUGAACAAAUGGUGGAGCAUUGAAUUACCAGAGCAGAAGCAGGAAUUGACAGAAGGAUGAAGGAUUUGGCUUGGAGCCAGAAACCCUCAAGAGGUGCAUCCAUUUUCUGCACAAACUCCAGCCUUUGUAGCGGUUCACUAGCAAUUGUAUUAUAUAGACGUAUACAACCACCCAGCAUUCUUCUGUGUGCUAGUGUGGAGACUGGGGUGCAUUUACUACUGUAAAAAGAUUGUAUUUGGGGAGGAAGUCAUUAUUUUCCAGACAGCCAGAAGUUGAAUAAAGUCUUUAUUAUUGCUGCUUGCUAGGUGAUUGCUUUGGUUGAUUGUUGAGUUAGAAAGGUUUUUGACUGUGGAUUAGAUAGAGUAUUUGUCAUGGCUGAAUGGAGAGGAGCGAGCUCUUCCUGACUGCUUCUAACUUUUUCUUUAUUUGACUCGUUGCUUCAUAUUUGCCUGGGUCAGUUUUAGUAGUCUCUAUUUUUCUGCAGAACCGAUUGUAGGCAUAGAGAACAGUUGCUGUGCUUAUUUGUACUAAGGAAAAGAUGUGGGGUUAGAUGUCUCAGUAUUUUGGCAGGACAACGUGAGGCAUUUUGUCACCUAAAGAAGGUCUUUGGUAGAAGCUGAAGAGAAUGAAUGGUGGGAUGGAGCCUGUGAAGUCUGUUGAUUAGCGACUCUGCUUCCACAUUAGCAGAAGGGAACGCAAGCACACUGUAAAUGAUGUCUUUGUCCUUGGAGAUCUUACAGUCUAAUCUUGAAAUAAUCAGCACAGAGUGAGCAGGAAUGUAAAACAGAUGGGGGAAUUGUAUGCAGGGUGACAUUAAGAGGAACGCCUGAUUAUUUAGAUACCAUUUUGUUGUGAAUGCGCUUAAAGCAUGUGUGUUUCUGUCGGGUGGUUAUGUUUAAUACACUAAAGGAAAUUAUACUCAACUGAGUUGUAAGCUGCUGAGAGGUUGAAUAUACAAGUAUGAGAACAGGAACAAGUAGUUGUGUUCUAUCUCUGGUGUGGUUCAAUAAUCAGAGUUCAAAGUUUUCAGUUAAUAAAUUAUGCAUAUAAAUGCAGUGGUUAUGCUUUUCCCAUGCUUUGUUCACAAAAAAUAAAUAUAAUUCAUGAAUAUUUUCUUUAAUUUCAAAUAGCAAAUGUGAAGUGAUAAACUCAAACUUUGAUCUCCAUCCUAUUAGUGGAAGUGGUUUAAUUAUUUGCAGCUAUUACCCUGUUCUGUUCUUUGUGGUGCUACGGUGUGUACAGAGAUUGGUUUUUGUAUUGUUGGCUUCAGCUUUCAAAUGGUUUUGAUGUGCACCUGCAUGUGAAGCGCACUAGAGACAUUCCAGACUUGAAAGGAUGAAAGUGGGGACUGCACAGCAAGAUGAGGCUCGUGAUGAAGCACUCGUGUGUGCUCAUGUGUAUAACAGCAGCUCCGCAUCCAAAAGACCAGACUGUGAACUGCAGAUUUUCAUUGUGGCUGCAGGAUCAGCAACACCACACUGGAGCUCACUAUUUCUUCUGAUUGACUCCUCGGCUAAUCGGCACUCACUAAAUCAAGUUGAGGUUGCAUUUGAGCCAUCUGGUUCCUUGUUCAGUACCCCAUUCUUAAUAAAUUCAGUUGUUUAUAACAUGAA